UACGUAGGGGGCAAGCGUUGUCCGGAAUCAUUGGGCGUAAAGCGCGUGUAGGCGGCUUGAUAAGUCUGCUCUGAAAGCCCGGGGCUCAACCCUGGGAGGCGGGUGGAUACUGUCGAGCUCGAGUCCGGAAGAGGCGAGUGGAAUUCCUGGUGUAGCGGUGAAAUGCGCAGAUAUCAGGAGGAACACCGAUGGCGAAGGCAGGUCUCUGGGCCACUACUGACGCUGAGAAGCGAAAGCAUGGGGAGCGAACAGG
RNAcentral lists this ribosomal RNA (253 nucleotides) under uncultured bacterium. RNAcentral describes it as "partial 16S ribosomal RNA". It matches the Rfam family "Bacterial small subunit ribosomal RNA", at positions 524 to 776 of the family's 1533-position model. The record is from RNAcentral.